UCAGCUCACUGCAAUCUCCACCUCCUGGC
RNAcentral lists this non-coding RNA (29 nucleotides) under Homo sapiens (human). Lineage: Eukaryota; Metazoa; Chordata; Mammalia; Primates; Hominidae. The record is from RNAcentral.